Molecule: ribosomal RNA, 301 nt
Filed under: uncultured bacterium
Lineage: Bacteria
Description: partial 16S ribosomal RNA
Rfam family: Bacterial small subunit ribosomal RNA
Source: RNAcentral
CAGCCGCCGCGGUAAUACGUAGGGUGCAAGCGUUAAUCGGAAUUACUGGGCGUAAAGCGUGCGCAGGCGGUGUUGUAAGACUGAUGUGAAAUCCCCGGGCUCAACCUGGGAACUGCAUUGGUGACUGCAACGCUGGAGUGCGGCAGAGGGGGAUGGAAUUCCGCGUGUAGCAGUGAAAUGCGUAGAGAUCGGAAGGAACAUCUGUGGCGAAGGCGACUAUCUGGGCCAACACUGACACUGAGGCACGAAAGCGUGGGGAGCAAACAGGAUUAGAGACCCCCGUAGUCCCUGUCUCUUAUAC